CCGUCAAUUCAUUUGAGUUUGGGCCCGCCGAUUUGCUGGAGCAUGUGGUUUAAUUGGUUGCAACGCGAAGAACCUUACCUGAGUCUUGACAUCCACGGAAGUUUUCAGAGAUGAGAAUGUGCCUUCGGGAACCGUGAGACAGGUGCUGCAUGGCUGUUGUCAGCUCGUGUUGUGAAAUGUUGGGUUAAGUCCCGCAACGAGCGCAACCAUUAUCCUUUGUUGCCAGCGGUCCGGCCGGGAACUCAAAGGAGAUCGCCAGUGAUAAACGGGAGGAAGGUGGGGAUGACGUCAAGUCAUCAUGGCCCUUACGACCAGGGAUACACACUUGCUACACUGGAGCAUACAAAGAGAAGCGACCUCGGAGAGCAAGUGGACCUCAUCAAGUGCGUCGUAGUCCGGAUUGGAGUCUGCAACUCGACUCCAUGAAGUUGGAAUCGAUGGUGAUCAUGACCAGAACGGGCGGUGUGUAC
This 470-nucleotide ribosomal RNA is filed under the name Escherichia coli. RNAcentral describes it as "bacterial SSU rRNA". It matches the Rfam family "Bacterial small subunit ribosomal RNA", at positions 917 to 1369 of the family's 1533-position model. The record is from RNAcentral. Lineage: Bacteria; Pseudomonadati; Pseudomonadota; Gammaproteobacteria; Enterobacterales; Enterobacteriaceae.